CUACGAGACGACGCUGGCGGCGUGCUUAACACAUGCAAGUCGAGCGGAAAGGCCCUUUCGGGGGUACUCGAGCGGCGAACGGGUGAGUAACACGUGAGUAAUCUGCCCUUGGCUUUGGGAUAACUACCGGAAACGGUGGCUAAUACCGGAUAUGACCAUGCUCGGCAUCGGGUGUGGUGGAAAGUUUUUUCGGCCAGGGAUGUGCUCGCGGCCUAUCAGCUUGUUGGUGGGGUAAUGGCCUACCAAGGCUUCGACGGGUAGCCGGCCUGAGAGGGUGACCGGCCACACUGGGACUGAGACACGGCCCAGACUCCUACGGGAGGCAGCAGUGGGGAAUAUUGGACAAUGGGCGGAAGCCUGAUCCAGCAACGCCGCGUGAGGGAUGACGGCCUUCGGGUUGUAAACCUCUUUCAGUACCGACGAAGCGCCGAUGAUGGUGGUGACGGUAGGUACAGAAGAAGCACCGGCCAACUACGUG
RNAcentral lists this ribosomal RNA (478 nucleotides) under uncultured bacterium. Its description in RNAcentral is "bacterial SSU rRNA". It matches the Rfam family "Bacterial small subunit ribosomal RNA", at positions 33 to 507 of the family's 1533-position model. The record is from RNAcentral.